Molecule: ribosomal RNA, 638 nt
Filed under: uncultured bacterium
Lineage: Bacteria
Description: bacterial SSU rRNA
Rfam family: Bacterial small subunit ribosomal RNA
Source: RNAcentral
GCUAAGGCCGAUGGCGACCGGCGCACGGGUGAGUAACACGUAUCCAACCUGCCGUCUACUCUUGGACAGCCUUCUGAAAGGAAGAUUAAUACAAGAUGGCAUCAUGAGUCCGCAUGUUCACAUGAUUAAAGGUAUUCCGGUAGACGAUGGGGAUGCGUUCCAUUAGAUAGUAGGCGGGGUAACGGCCCACCUAGUCUUCGAUGGAUAGGGGUUCUGAGAGGAAGGUCCCCCACAUUGGAACUGAGACACGGUCCAAACUCCUACGGGAGGCAGCAGUGAGGAAUAUUGGUCAAUGGGCGAGAGCCUGAACCAGCCAAGUAGCGUGAAGGAUGAAGGUCCUACGGAUUGUAAACUUCUUUUAUACGGGAAUAAAGUAUCCUACGUGUAGGAUUUUGUAUGUACCGUAUGAAUAAGCAUCGGCUAACUCCGUGCCAGCAGCCGCGGUAAUACGGAGGAUGCGAGCGUUAUCCGGAUUUAUUGGGUUUAAAGGGAGCGCAGACGGGAGAUUAAGUCAGUUGUGAAAGUUUGCGGCUCAACCGUAAAAUUGCAGUUGAUACUGGUUUCCUUGAGUGCAGUUGAGGCAGGCGGAAUUCGUGGUGUAGCGGUGAAAUGCUUAGAUAUCACGAAGAACCCCGAUU